AUUGAACGCUGGCGGAAUAGCUUUACUACAUGCAAGUCGAACGGCGAGCACGGGGCAACCUGGUGGCGAGUGGCGAACGGGUGAGUAAUACAUCGGAACGUGCCCAAUCGUGGGGGAUAACGUAGCGAAAGUUACGCUAAUACCGCAUACGAUCUACGGAUGAAAGCGGGGGAUCGCAAGACCUCGCGCGAGUGGAGCGGCCGAUGUCAGAUUAGGUAGUUGGUGGGGUAAAGGCUCACCAAGCCAACGAUCUGUGGCUGGUCUGAGAGGACGACCAGCCACACUGGAACUGAGACACGGUCCAGACUCCUACGGGAGGCAGCAGUGGGGAAUUUUGGACAAUGGGCGCAAGCCUGAUCCAGCCAUUCCGCGUGCAGGAUGAAGGCCUUCGGGUUGUAAACUGCUUUUGUACGGAACGAAACGGCGAGCUCUAAUACAGUUUGCUAAUGACGGUACCGUAAGAAUAAGCACCGGCUAACUACGUG
This 485-nucleotide ribosomal RNA is filed under the name uncultured bacterium. Its description in RNAcentral is "bacterial SSU rRNA". It matches the Rfam family "Bacterial small subunit ribosomal RNA", at positions 30 to 507 of the family's 1533-position model. The record is from RNAcentral.